RNAcentral lists this ribosomal RNA (716 nucleotides) under uncultured Clostridium sp. RNAcentral's name for it is "bacterial SSU rRNA". It matches the Rfam family "Bacterial small subunit ribosomal RNA", at positions 28 to 774 of the family's 1533-position model. The record is from RNAcentral. Lineage: Bacteria; Bacillati; Bacillota; Clostridia; Eubacteriales; Clostridiaceae.
GAUGAACGCUGGCGGCGUGCCUAACACAUGCAAGUCGAGCGAUCUCUUCGGAGAGAGCGGCGGACGGGUGAGUAACGCGUGGGUAACCGGCCCUGUACACACGGAUAACAUACCGAAAGGUAUACUAAUACGGGAUAACAUACGAAAGUCGCAUGGCUUUUGUAUCAAAGCUCCGGCGGUACAGGAUGGACCCGCGUCUGAUUAGCUAGUUGGUAAGGUAAUGGCUUACCAAGGCAACGAUCAGUAGCCGACCUGAGAGGGUGAUCGGCCACACUGGAACUGAGACACGGUCCAGACUCCUACGGGAGGCAGCAGUGGGGAAUAUUGCACAAUGGGCGAAAGCCUGAUGCAGCAACGCCGCGUGAGCGAUGAAGGCCUUCGGGUCGUAAAGCUCUGUCCUCAAGGAAGAUAAUGACGGUACUUGAGGAGGAAGCCCCGGCUAACUACGUGCCAGCAGCCGCGGUAAUACGUAGGGGGCUAGCGUUAUCCGGAAUUACUGGGCGUAAAGGGUGCGUAGGUGGUUUUUUAAGUCAGAAGUGAAAGGCUACGGCUCAACCGUAGUAAGCUUUUGAAACUAGAGAACUUGAGUGCAGGAGAGGAGAGUAGAAUUCCUAGUGUAGCGGUGAAAUGCGUAGAUAUUAGGAGGAAUACCAGUAGCGAAGGCGGCUCUCUGGACUGUAACUGACACUGAGGCACGAAAGCGUGGGGAGCAAACA